This 265-nucleotide ribosomal RNA is filed under the name uncultured prokaryote. RNAcentral describes it as "partial 16S ribosomal RNA". It matches the Rfam family "Bacterial small subunit ribosomal RNA", at positions 524 to 788 of the family's 1533-position model. The record is from RNAcentral.
UACGUAGGUGGCGAGCGUUGUCCGGAUUUACUGGGCGUAAAGGGAGCGUAGGCGGACUUUUAAGUGAGAUGUGAAAUACCCGGGCUCAACUUGGGUGCUGCAUUUCAAACUGGAAGUCUAGAGUGCAGGAGAGGAUAAUGGAAUUCCUAGUGUAGCGGUGAAAUGCGUAGAGAUUAGGAAGAACACCAGUGGCGAAGGCGAUUCUCUGGACUGUAACUGACGCUGAGGAGCGAAAGCAUGGGUAGCGAACAGGAUUAGAUACCCU